Molecule: microRNA precursor, 98 nt
Organism: Caenorhabditis elegans
Lineage: Eukaryota; Metazoa; Nematoda; Chromadorea; Rhabditida; Rhabditidae
Source: Ensembl
UUUCCCGGCUGCAACUACGGUAAGCGGUAUCCAGCCGAUGUUUUCAAUACUGCAUUUGAAUACACGUGCACGGAUAACGCUCAUUGUUUUUCGCAUGC